GACGAACGCUGGCGGCGUGCUUAACACAUGCAAGUCGAACGGUAGGGCCCAGCUUGCUGGGUACACGAGUGGCGAACGGGUGAGUAACACGUGGGUGACCUGCCCUUAGCUCUGGGAUAAGCCUGGGAAACUGGGUCUAAUACCGGAUGUUCACUGUCUGCUGCAUGGUGGGUGGUGGAAAGGUUGUGUCUUGUGGCAUGGCUGGCUGGGGGAUGGGCCCGCGGCCUAUCAGCUUGUUGGUGGGGGUGAUGGCCUACCAAGGCGG
RNAcentral lists this ribosomal RNA (265 nucleotides) under uncultured Actinomycetes bacterium. RNAcentral describes it as "uncultured actinobacterium partial 16S ribosomal RNA". It matches the Rfam family "Bacterial small subunit ribosomal RNA", at positions 28 to 276 of the family's 1533-position model. Lineage: Bacteria; Bacillati; Actinomycetota; Actinomycetes. The record is from RNAcentral.